Cercocebus atys (sooty mangabey) is the source of this 647-nucleotide long non-coding RNA. RefSeq lists it as uncharacterized. The transcript is spliced from 3 exons. Lineage: Eukaryota; Metazoa; Chordata; Mammalia; Primates; Cercopithecidae. The record is from RefSeq and is a predicted model, not a curated record.
UUCUAAGACUAUGGAGCGUCCCGAAAACCCCCUGCAUCAAUCACGGAUAGUGUUUGAUCUCUGAAACCUCAACCUCUGGUGAAUAUAAAGAGCUCUCUUACCUCCACUUGAUUUCCAGGUACCCUUUGGAUUCUCAUGGCACGCCUACCCAUUAGGCCCUCUCUGUACUGAUGAUGGCAUACGUUAAUUUGCAUAUGGAAUUCAAUCAAGUGACCAAGCCAGAGCAUGACACAUCUUUUGGAAAUUAUGCCUCGAUGCAUGAAGUGGCCAUCACUUUGUUCAGCCUCAGGAGUGGGAGAGAAAAACCAGUAAACAAGUAGAUACCUCAACGAUGCUCCGUGCUGUGCUGGAAAACCAAGCAGUGGCUUUCAGACUUUACGAUGCAUCAGAAUCACCUGGAGAACUUCUUAAAAUAGACUGCUGGGCCCUCCUCACAGAGCUUCUGAUUGGUAGAUGUGAGUAGGAGCCAAAAGCCUGCAUUUCCAACACGGCCCUACAUGAUGCUACGCUGCUGGACUGAGACUGCACUUUGAAAACCAAGGAACCAACAGACACAUUAAGACUUAAAAGAGAGGCCAGGCGUGGUGGCUCACACAUGUAAUCCCAGAACUUUGGGAGGUCAAGGUGGGCGGAUCACCUGAGGUCCA